CUGCCCUUGAUGCCCAGAUUGAAGUGCUAAGCCCUCUUCAGCCUGUGUUAGAGUGCUUCAAAGAGGAAUACAAGACCCUGGGCAGAGCCCUGGACACCACGCGACACGAGCUGCCCACACAGGCUGUCCACAUGGAAGGAAGUGGGCAGGAGCUCCUAGAUGAUCUGGAGCCAGCCCUGACA
Molecule: non-coding RNA, 182 nt
Organism: Arvicanthis niloticus (Nile rat)
Lineage: Eukaryota; Metazoa; Chordata; Mammalia; Rodentia; Muridae
Source: RefSeq, a predicted model, not a curated record